Molecule: long non-coding RNA, 137 nt
Organism: Herpailurus yagouaroundi (jaguarundi)
Lineage: Eukaryota; Metazoa; Chordata; Mammalia; Carnivora; Felidae
Exons: 3
Source: RefSeq, a predicted model, not a curated record
CUGGUGGGAACGUAAAAUGGUGUAGCCGCUUUGGAAAACAAUAUGGAGGUUCCUCAAAAAAUUAAACAGAAACACCAUACGAUCCAGUUAUUCCACUACAGGGUAUUUACUCAAAGAAACAAAACACUACUUUGAAA